RNAcentral lists this ribosomal RNA (233 nucleotides) under uncultured bacterium. RNAcentral's name for it is "partial 16S ribosomal RNA". It matches the Rfam family "Bacterial small subunit ribosomal RNA", at positions 118 to 350 of the family's 1533-position model. The record is from RNAcentral.
UGGGCAACCUGCCCCUCUCUCUGGGAUAACCCCGGGAAACCGGAGCUAAUACCGGAUACUCCGGCUGGAUCGCAUGGUCCGGCCGGGAAAGGUCCGCCGGAGAGGGAUGGGCCCGCGGCCUAUCAGCUUGUUGGUGAGGUAACGGCUCACCAAGGCGACGACGGGUAGCUGGUCUGAGAGGACGACCAGCCACACUGGAACUGAGAUACGGUCCAGACUCCGUACGGGAGGCA